RNAcentral lists this non-coding RNA (45 nucleotides) under Trichobilharzia regenti. Lineage: Eukaryota; Metazoa; Platyhelminthes; Trematoda; Strigeidida; Schistosomatidae. The record is from RNAcentral.
AUUUAUCUGAAGAGUUCGAAAUAGGGGUAAAUAUGCAUCCUAAAU